AAUAUCUCUCUUUUGGAUUUCAAACUUUCAUUUAAAGUCUAAAUUGGCAGACCUUUUCUCUCUCUUUGCUCUCAUGGAGUUUCUCCAGUUUUUCUUUUUCUUACUGCACAACAUCCCAGCCAUUUUUGGGUAUUAAUUUGAAACAAAUCUGCUCAAAGCACAGGCAAAUCUGAAACAAAUCUGCUCAAAUCUCGCUCAUUAAAUGAUGAACGACUAUUUUACCGUUCAAAACUCCAUGCUCUUAAUUUCAAACGUUAGAGGUAGAAAUCCCACCAAAAGAACUACCAAGAUUGCAGCCAUUAGGGAGAAGGUGGAGCCGCCCCUCUAUCACCCCUAAGUUUAAGCUUCAGCCGUUGCCUCUAACCCUCAAACCCACUACUCUUUGCUUGCUUUCACUAUUUAAGAAAAUUUUCAUAAAAUCUUUUUCUGUUCCACCUUUGGUACUUUUUGAUUUCAGUGGGUUUUUAAUCAAAACAGAGCUGCUGCUUUUUCAUUUAUUCUUUUGUCCACGUUCGAGGUGACGAGCUCGUGGUCGGAUUUCGAUUGUAGGUAAAAGACCCCGGUUCACUGCUCCGAAGCAGGUCAGCUCAUUUCUUUUCUUUAUUAUUAUUAUUAUUAUAUUUAGUUGUGUUUAGAAUGAAAAUUUGAGUUUGUUUUAUUUCCUCUUUUCCGAAGAGUAGUUUCAGUGUUAAAUAUGUGCUUUAGUUGUUCACCACAUCUGUUUAAUCUAAGUGUUACUAAAGGAAGAACCUGACUAGCAAAGUAUUAUCAUGGGAUAUUUUCUUAUAUAUUAAAAAUUAUUUCUUUAAAGUUGCUCUCUUCUUUGUUAAAGAAAAACAAGACUAGCUGCUAUCUUAUAGUAGUGAUAUAUUAGUAGAGAUCGUAUUUUUUUUUUAUAUAUUAUGGCCAUCUAAUAUAUCGAUAUGAAUAUGCCUAUUGCUGCUUUAUACAUAAACACUAUAUUGGUAUUGAGUCCAAAAUCUAGAAAUCAUUGUUUAGUUUUCCUUUGAAUGAUGCAGGACUCUGUCCUUCAGAUUUAGGACACAUCUUUUUGAAAUAAGAUCCAGUUAUAUGUCUACUUUUAUAUAUAGAUGUAAUAUUGACACUAUAGGUAGCAUGCUCAACAACAACAACCCAAUUGGUGUCAGAGGAGGGUAAUAGCUACGCACGCAGACCUUACUCCUACCCGAGGGGCAGAGAGGCUGUUUGUAGGUAGCAUGCUCAUUGGGGUUAUUUGCCCAUUUAGCUUAUAUUUUUUUAAAUAAAAAAUGAAAGUUCUGCUUUCAUGAAUUAUAACUUGAGUUCUUGUUGAAAUAUUAAUGUCUUUUCUUUAGUUGCUUUCUAAUAGUAGAAAAUAGGACUUUAGAUGGACAUCAAAUUUGCUUAAAAUUUGGAGAUCAUGUCAAUAGAUUUAAAUAAUUUAUGUUUAAUUUAAAAGGCAAUCGUCUUCAUUAAACUACAUGUGAGUUUUAAAAUAAUUAAAAUAAGUUAUGGCAUUUUUUGAUUCGUAGUUGUAAUACUAAAUGAGGCCGCGUUUUCUAUUGAAUUUGCCAUAAAACAUUUCAUGUUAGAAUGGAGUAAUUCAUAGUAGUUAAAUUGGCUGUUAAUGAAAUCUUUUGGAUUUUUUGUUAAUGUAUCUGUCUUGGUCUAAAUUGAAUGCAAAGAAUCAUUUUUAUAGAAGUCAUUUAAAUAUUAUUUAAAAUUUAAAUAUUAUUUAAAAGGGGCAAAGUCUAUGUUAGAGUUGAAUCUUUUAAGAGACAUCAUGUCAUGUUAAGAUGGUACCCACAUGCAUGCUUUAUGUAUUUGGAAUGAUUGAUACUUUAAUAAUUGCAAGCUUAGUCUAAAGCAUUCAGCUACAACUCCUCUGUUGCAAACCUGUGGGAACAAACUGAAAUCGGUGCUCUCAUUUAUUCAAUGAUUUAACAUGUGAAAUUCUUGUCAAAUAACGAGUUGUCUGCUAAUCUUUAUCCUUUUUUUUUUCUUUGCAUGUACGCUUUGGAGCAAAAAUCGAGUCUUAAUUCGAGAUUCUCGCGGUGGAGUCGCAUAGAGACUCAACGCUACUACCACCACGUGGAGGAUGGCAUAACAUAUCCCAUAGAUGCAUCGGAUAGUCAAAAAAACAAGCGAAUUGCUUGGGUCGCUUAUGGCGGCUUUUAUUUUUACUUGCUGUCUGAUGUUAAUUUAUAUGAUUUGUUUUGUUUGAACCUAUGAUUGAUGAUUAAUUUUAUCAUUUAAAAUUACAACUUUAGUUUUGAGUAAAAUACUUUUUAAUAAAGACUUGAAAGGAUACAAUGCACUUAGCGAUUUGGGGGUAGUAUUUUUAUGAAAAGCAG
This 2333-nucleotide long non-coding RNA is filed under the name Nicotiana tabacum (common tobacco). Its description in RNAcentral is "long non-coding RNA (NTAB_LNC001133)". Lineage: Eukaryota; Viridiplantae; Streptophyta; Magnoliopsida; Solanales; Solanaceae. The record is from RNAcentral.